This 67-nucleotide transfer RNA is filed under the name Marmota monax (woodchuck). RNAcentral's name for it is "tRNA.Ala". Lineage: Eukaryota; Metazoa; Chordata; Mammalia; Rodentia; Sciuridae. The record is from RNAcentral.
GGUUGUGACUCAGUGGUAGAGUGCUUGCCUAGCACACGUGAGGCACUGGGUUCAAUACUAAGCACCA